RNAcentral lists this transfer RNA (72 nucleotides) under Saccoglossus kowalevskii. Its description in RNAcentral is "tRNA-Thr". It matches the Rfam family "tRNA". From Rfam's summary of the family: Transfer RNA (tRNA) molecules are approximately 80 nucleotides in length. Their secondary structure includes four short double-helical elements and three loops (D, anti-codon, and T loops). Lineage: Eukaryota; Metazoa; Hemichordata; Enteropneusta; Harrimaniidae. The record is from RNAcentral.
GCCUCAGUGGCCAAGUGGUAAGGCGUCGGUCUCGUAAACCGAAGAUCGUGGGUUCGACCCCCAUCUGAGGCU